AAUAAAGUUCAAUGUGUGAAGCCCAAGUUAUAUGAUUUUAAUCUAUAAAAUGACAAAUCAAAGCUUCGAAGGAUAUGAUUUUAAAGCUAUAAAAUGGAGAUCAAGAGGUCAAAAGGACACCAAAAAGACCCAAAAAAACACGAAAAAUACUUCUAAAAAUUCGAAGGCUCUUAACUUGAAAUCUUCCUCUGUUUUCCUUCUACUUUCUUCUCCCUUUUUCCCUCGAUCAGCCGCUGCCCCAGUGCACCGGCCAUCCGUCAUUGCCUAGACCCCCGGCGCCUGUUCCAAAUCAUCGUUGCCCAGUUAGCCGGCCAUUGUUUCGCCGCUGUACCCGCCAGGCCGCCUAUUGCCCUGCUUCGCCGCGCCACAGUUGCUCCUGAUCCAGCCGGCCACCGCUGGUUCGUCAGCUCGUCAUCUUUGCCACCGCGCUACUUCGCCACUGCUACUGCCCGCCGCCAAUCCGCCCAGCCGACUAUCCCUGCUUCAAGCCGCCCAGCUCAUUAUUUUUCGGUAACUAUUCGGAGUUCUCGUUGCCAGAAACUGAAGCACUUUGAAUUAUGGGACGACCAAACAUGCCAGUACAAAUAACCAAAGGAAACAGAGAAUAAAAUUUUCUGGAGAAGUUUUUAUAUUUUUUUCCGUAAUUUAUUAUUAUUAUGAAUUGGGUUUCGAUUUUAAAAAUAUUUUUUUACCUUUUAAAAUAUCAAUUUUAAUCCUUAAAGAAAGAAAAAAUUUCAAAAUUUGAAAUUGCAAAAGUGUCUAGCAAAUCCUUUUAUUUCGCACAUAGUCACUAAUUCUAAAAUUCAUUUUUAGUAGAAUUAUUUAUUGUAUUCCACAGACAUCUAUGUAUGUGCUGUAUGCUCUUUAUGGUUGAUGAAAGAUUAGAUGUAUGAUUUAACGAAUAAUUUAAGAUAUUAUUAUGUAUAUUUUUAUGCUUAAUUCUGAAUAUGUUUAUGUAUAAUUUCAUGUGUGAUUUAAAAAAUAUAUGGACGCCUAAUUGUACGAUUAUUUCCUUUAAUGAUGCAUGAUAUGUGUAUGAAUUUGUAUAUUUUUGCAAUUGAUUGUAAAAAUGGUUAAGUUAAAAUACAUUCAUUAAGCUUA
This is a long non-coding RNA of Gossypium arboreum, 1101 nucleotides long. RefSeq lists it as uncharacterized. The transcript is spliced from 2 exons. The record is from RefSeq and is a predicted model, not a curated record. Lineage: Eukaryota; Viridiplantae; Streptophyta; Magnoliopsida; Malvales; Malvaceae.